Molecule: ribosomal RNA, 253 nt
Filed under: uncultured bacterium
Lineage: Bacteria
Description: partial 16S ribosomal RNA
Rfam family: Bacterial small subunit ribosomal RNA
Source: RNAcentral
UACGGGGGGGGCAAGCGUUGUUCGGAAUUACUGGGCGUAAAGGGCUCGUAGGCGGCCAACUAAGUCGGAUGUGAAAUCCCCAAGCUUAACUUGGGAACUGCGUCUGAUACUGGAAGACUUGAGUGCGGGAGAGGGAUGUGGAAUUCCAGGUGUAGCGGUGAAAUGCGUAGAUAUCUGGAGGAACACCGGUGGCGAAGGCGGCAUCCUGGACCGACACUGACGCUGAGGCGCGAAAGCCAGGGGAGCAAACGGG